CAACCUCAACUCAUAUGGGACUACCCCCUGAAUUUAAGCAUAUUAAUUAGGGGAGGAAAAGAAACUAACAAGGAUUUUCUUAGUAGCGGCGAGCGAAAAGAAAACAGUUCAGCACUAAGUCACUUUGUCUAUAUGGCAAAUGUGAGAUGCAGUGUAUGGAGCGUCAAUAUUCUAGUAUGAGAAAUUAAUGAUUUAAGUCCUUCUUAAAUGAGGCCAUUUACCCAUAGAGGGUGCCAGGCCCGUAUAACGUUAAUGAUUACUAGAUGAUGUUUCCAAAGAGUCGUGUUGCUUGAUAGUGCAGCACUAAGUGGGUGGUAAACUCCAUCUAAAACUAAAUAUAACCAUGAGACCGAUAGUAAACAAGUACCGUGAGGGAAAGUUGAAAAGAACUCUGAAUAGAGAGUUAAACAGUACGUGAAACUGCUUAGAGGUUAAGCCCGAUGAACCUGAAUAUCCGUUAUGGAAAAUUCAUCAUUAAAAUUGUAAUAUUUAAAUAAUAUUAUUAAGAAUAAUGUGCAUUUUUUCCAUAUAAGGACAUUGUAAUCUAUUAGCAUAUCCCAAAUUUAUCAUAAAAUAUAACUUAUAGUUUAUUCCAAUUAAAUUGCUUGCAUUUUAACACAGAAUAAAUGUUAUUAAUUUGAUAAAGUGCUGAUAGAUUUAUAUUAUUACAGAGCGUUAAUUUUUCGGAAUUAUAUAAUGGCAUAAUUAUCAUUGAUUUUUGUGUUUAUUAUAUGCUCUUGUAUGAUUAACAAUGCGAAAGAUUCAGGAUACCUUCGGGACCCGUCUUGAAACACGGACCAAGGAGUCUAACAUAUGUGCAAGUUAUUGGGAUGUAAACCUAAUAGCGUAAUUAACUUGACUAAUAAUGGGAUUAGUUUUUUAGCUAUUUAUAGCUAAUUAACACAAUCCCGGGGCGUUCUAUAUAGUUAUGUAUAAUGUAUAUUUAUAUUAUUUAUGCCUCUAACUGGAACGUACCUUGAGCAUAUAUGCUGUGACCCGAAAGAUGGUGAACUAUACUUGAUCAGGUUGAAGUCAGGGGAAACCCUGAUGGAAGACCGAAACAGUUCUGACGUGCAAAUCGAUUGUCAGAAUUGAGUAUAGGGGCGAAAGACCAAUCGAACCAUCUAGUAGCUGGUUCCUUCCGAAGUUUCCCUCAGGAUAGCUGGUGCAUUUUAAUAUUAUAUAAAAUAAUCUUAUCUGGUAAAGCGAAUGAUUAGAGGCCUUAGGGUCGAAACGAUCUUAACCUAUUCUCAAACUUUAAAUGGGUAAGAACCUUAACUUUCUUGAUAUGAAGUUCAAGGUUAUGAUAUAAUGUGCCCAGUGGGCCACUUUUGGUAAGCAGAACUGGCGCUGUGGGAUGAACCAAACGUAAUGUUACGGUGCCCAAAUUAACAACUCAUGCAGAUACCAUGAAAGGCGUUGGUUGCUUAAAACAGCAGGACGGUGAUCAUGGAAGUCGAAAUCCGCUAAGGAGUGUGUAACAACUCACCUGCCGAAGCAACUAGCCCUUAAAAUGGAUGGCGCUUAAGUUGUAUACCUAUACAUUACCGCUAAAGUAGAUGAUUUAUAUUACUUGUGAUAUAAAUUUUGAAACUUUAGUGAGUAGGAAGGUACAAUGGUAUGCGUAGAAGUGUUUGGCGUAAGCCUGCAUGGAGCUGCCAUUGGUACAGAUCUUGGUGGUAGUAGCAAAUAAUCGAAUGAGACCUUGGAGGACUGAAGUGGAGAAGGGUUUCGUGUGAACAGUGGUUGAUCACGAGUUAGUCGGUCCUAAGUUCAAGGCGAAAGCCGAAAAUUUUCAAGUAAAACAAAAAUGCCUAACUAUAUAAACAAAGCGAAUAUAAUACACUUGAAUAAUUUUGAACGAAAGGGAAUACGGUUCCAAUUCCGUAACCUGUUGAGUAUCCGUUUGUUAUUAAAUAUGGGCCUCGUGCUCAUCCUGGCAACAGGAACGACCAUAAAGAAGCCGUCGAGAGAUAUCGGAAGAGUUUUCUUUUCUGUUUUAUAGCCGUACUACCAUGGAAGUCUUUCGCAGAGAGAUAUGGUAGAUGGGCUAGAAGAGCAUGACAUAUACUGUUGUGUCGAUAUUUUCUCCUCGGACCUUGAAAAUUUAUGGUGGGGACACGCAAACUUCUCAACAGGCCGUACCAAUAUCCGCAGCUGGUCUCCAAGGUGAAGAGUCUCUAGUCGAUAGAAUAAUGUAGGUAAGGGAAGUCGGCAAAUUAGAUCCGUAACUUCGGGAUAAGGAUUGGCUCUGAAGAUUGAGAUAGUCGGGCUUGAUUGGGAAACAAUAACAUGGUUUAUGUGCUCGUUCUGGGUAAAUAGAGUUUCUAGCAUUUAUGUUAGUUACUUGUUCCCCGGAUAGUUUAGUUACGUAGCCAAUUGUGGAACUUUCUUGCUAAAAUUUUUAAGAAUACUAUUUGGGUUAAACCAAUUAGUUCUUAUCAAUUAUAACGAUUAUCAAUUAACAAUCAAUUCAGAACUGGCACGGACUUGGGGAAUGCCAAAUGCCUCGUCAUCUAAUUAGUGACGCGCAUGAAUGGAUUAACGAGAUUCCUACUGUCCCUAUCUACUAUCUAGCGAAACCACAGCCAAGGGAACGGGCUUGGAAUAAUUAGCGGGGAAAGAAGACCCUUUUGAGCUUGACUCUAAUCUGGCAGUGUAAGGAGACAUAAGAGGUGUAGAAUAAGUGGGAGAUAUUAGACCUCGGUUUGGUAUCGUCAAUGAAAUACCACUACUCUUAUUGUUUCCUUACUUACUUGAUUAAAUGGAACGUGUAUCAUUUCCUAGCCAUUAUACGGAUAUAUUUAUUAUAUCUUAUGGUAUUGGGUUUUGAUGCAAGCUUCUUGAUCAAAGUAUCACGAGUUUGUUAUAUAAUCGCAAACAAAUUCUUUAAUAAAACGAUGCAUUUAUGUAUUUUUGAUUUGAAAAUUUGGUAUAACUCCAAUUACUCAGGUAUGAUCCAAUUCAAGGACAUUGCCAGGUAGGGAGUUUGACUGGGGCGGUACAUCUCUCAAAUAAUAACGGAGGUGUCCCAAGGCCAGCUCAGUGCGGACAGAAACCACACAUAGAGCAAAAGGGCAAAUGCUGACUUGAUCUCGGUGUUCAGUACACACAGGGACAGCAAAAGCUCGGCCUAUCGAUCCUUUUGGUUUAAAGAGUUUUUAACAAGAGGUGUCAGAAAAGUUACCAUAGGGAUAACUGGCUUGUGGCGGCCAAGCGUUCAUAGCGACGUCGCUUUUUGAUCCUUCGAUGUCGGCUCUUCCUAUCAUUGUGAAGCAAAAUUCACCAAGCGUUGGAUUGUUCACCCAUGCAAGGGAACGUGAGCUGGGUUUAGACCGUCGUGAGACAGGUUAGUUUUACCCUACUAAUGACAAAACGUUGUUGCGACAGCAUUCCUGCGUAGUACGAGAGGAACCGCAGGUACGGACCAAUGGCACAAUACUUGUUCGAGCGAACAGUGGUAUGACGCUACGUCCGUUGGAUUAUGCCUGAACGCCUCUAAGGUCGUAUCCGUGCUGGACUGCAAUGAUAAAUAAGGGGCAAUUUGCAUUGUAUGGCUUCUAAACCAUUUAAAGUUUAUAAUUUAUUUUAUAAACGACAAUGGAUGUGAUGCCAAUGUAAUUUGUAACAUAGUAAAUUAGGAGGAUCUUCGAUCACCUGAUGCCGCGCUAGUUACAUAUAAAAGCAUUAUUUAAUACAAUGACAAAGCCUAGAAUCAAUUGUAAACGACUUUUGUAACAGGCAAGGUGUUGUAAGUGGUUGAGCAGCUGCCAUACUGCGAUCCACUGAAGCUUAUCCUUUGCUUGAUGAUUCGA
This is a ribosomal RNA of Drosophila simulans, 3815 nucleotides long. The record is from RefSeq and is a predicted model, not a curated record. Lineage: Eukaryota; Metazoa; Arthropoda; Insecta; Diptera; Drosophilidae.